GGUCUUGACAUCCCGGAGACCUUAGGAACUAGGGGUGCUUCCAUCUGGAAGAAUCUGGAGACAGGUGCUGCAUGGCUGUCGUCAGCUCGUGUCGUGAGAUGUUGGGUUAAGUCCCGCAACGAGCGCAACCCUUGCCUUUAGUUGCCAGCAGUUCGGCUGGGCACUCUAAAGGGACUGCCGGUGUUAAACCGGAGGAAGGUGGGGAUGACGUCAAGUCCUCAUGGCCUUUAUGACCAGGGCUACACACGUACUACAAUGGCCGAUACAAAGGGCAGCGACACUGCGAGGUGAAGCCAAUCCCGUAAAAUCGGUCUCAGUCCGGAUUGGAGUCUGCAACUCGACUCCAUGAAGUUGGAAUCGCUAGUAAUCGUGGAUCAGCAUGCCACGGUGAAUACGUUCCCGGGCCUU
This 408-nucleotide ribosomal RNA is filed under the name uncultured Desulfobulbus sp. RNAcentral's name for it is "bacterial SSU rRNA". It matches the Rfam family "Bacterial small subunit ribosomal RNA", at positions 977 to 1382 of the family's 1533-position model. The record is from RNAcentral. Lineage: Bacteria; Pseudomonadati; Thermodesulfobacteriota; Desulfobulbia; Desulfobulbales; Desulfobulbaceae.